This 253-nucleotide ribosomal RNA is filed under the name uncultured bacterium. RNAcentral's name for it is "partial 16S ribosomal RNA". It matches the Rfam family "Bacterial small subunit ribosomal RNA", at positions 524 to 776 of the family's 1533-position model. The record is from RNAcentral.
UACGUAGGGGGCUAGCGUUGUCCGGAAUCAUUGGGCGUAAAGCGCGUGUAGGCGGCCCGGUAAGUCCGCUGUGAAAGUCGGGGGCUCAACCCUCGGAAGCCGGUGGAUACUGUCGGGCUCGAGUACGGAAGAGGCGAGUGGAAUUCCUGGUGUAGCGGUGAAAUGCGCAGAUAUCAGGAGGAACACCAAUUGCGAAGGCAGCUCGCUGGGACGUAACUGACGCUGAGGCGCGAAAGCAUGGGGAGCGAACAGG